This 1552-nucleotide ribosomal RNA is filed under the name Heliconius melpomene melpomene. Its description in RNAcentral is "SSU rRNA". The stretch from base 1 to 941 matches the Rfam family "Eukaryotic small subunit ribosomal RNA", at positions 225 to 1116 of the family's 1831-position model. Lineage: Eukaryota; Metazoa; Arthropoda; Insecta; Lepidoptera; Nymphalidae. The record is from RNAcentral.
UCGCGUCCGAAGUCGUUAAUUUUGAUGAAUCUGGAUAACUUUUGCCGAUCGCAUGGUCAAGUACCGGCGACGCAUCUUUCAAAUGUCUGCCUUAUCAACUUUCGAUGGUAGUUUCUGCGACUACCAUGGUUGUCACGGGUAACGGGGAAUCAGGGUUCGAUUCCGGAGAGGGAGCCUGAGAAACGGCUACCACAUCCAAGGAAGGCAGCAGGCGCGCAAAUUACCCACUCCCGGCACGGGGAGGUAGUGACGAAAAAUAACGAUACGGGACUCUUUCGAGGCCUCGUAAUCGGAAUGAGUACACUUUAAAUAUUUUAACGAGGAACAAUUGGAGGGCAAGUCUGGUGCCAGCAGCCGCGGUAAUUCCAGCUCCAAUAGCGUAUACUAAAAUUGUUGCGGUUAAAAAGCUCGUAGUUGCAUUUGUGCGCGCGCUGUCGGUGCACCGCAUCCGCGGUGAUACUGACACGUCUGCGGAGCAUAUCGUCGGUGAGCCGGCGGUAAAACGCCGGUUCAAUAUCAAAAUCCUAUCGCGGUUCUCUUCGGUGAGUGUCGAGAUGGGCCGACAAUUUUACUUUGAACAAAUUAGAGUGCUCAAAGCGGGCUCAAAAUGCCGCUUGAAUAUUUCGUGCAUGGAAUAAUAGAAUAUGAUCUCGGUUCUAUUUUGUUGGUUUUCAGAACUCCGAGGUAAUGAUUAAUAGGGAUAACUGGGGGCAUUCGUAUUGCGACGUUAGAGGUGAAAUUCUUGGAUCGUCGCAAGACGAACAUCAGCGAAAGCAUUUGCCAAAGGUGUUUUCAUCAAUCAAGAACGAAAGUUAGAGGUUCGAAGGCGAUUAGAUACCGCCCUAGUUCUAACCGUAAAUAUGUCGUCUAGCGAUCCGCCGACGUUAACCUUUAAGUAUGGACGUCGGGUCUCAUAGACCCAUAUAGGUCUACGAAUUCUACAAAUCGGCCACUUCUCGGUGACCUCCGCCACUGAGUCUCUCAGUACCUUUCGUAUUAAUGCCAAAAUGAAUGUAGAUAGCAGUGGUUGUGUCUCUGGGUUCAAAACACGUGAGUAUUUAACUUUCUAAACGGGACCUGGGUCUGUCAGACCCGACGUCCAUGUUUUCCAUACAUAAUGAUUUCAAAACCCCAUAUAUUUUUAUAAUAUUACAAAAUAUACUUUAAUAUUUUAAUUGUAUUAUUUGUAUUCAAAUGUUUUUAUUGUUAUAUAUCAUAUAUUACUUUGCAUUAUUUGUUAUAUAUUUUAGUAAUAUAAAUAUUAUUUACGUAAAAAAGACUAAAUUUUUAUAGUUUUUAUGAUAAAAUGGAAAAAAAUGAUUGACUAAGCACGUCAGGGACAAAUAUAUCAGUACUUUAUAAUCAACAUCAAACAAAAGAAUUGGACGACGUCAUUUUAUAAAGAACAUAGCACUUUAUCAAAUAAAAAGACGCGUUUCGUAUACUAAACUACUCUAAGAAUUGAGAAUGACUUUGACUCGCGUUUCGCGAUCUGAUCUAUCAUUUAUUGAACAUGAAGCUAAAAAAAUAGUUUUGGGUUCUUGAAAAACAU